AUACGGAGGGUGCGAGCGUUGUUCGGAAUUAUUGGGCGUAAAGAGCAUGUAGGCGGUCUGUUAAGUCUGGUGUGAAAGCCCGGGGCUCAACCCCGGAAGUGCAUUGGAUACUGGCAGACUUGAGUAUGGGAGAGGAAAGCGGAAUUCCGAGUGUAGGAGUGAAAUCCGUAGAUAUUCGGAGGAACACCAGUGGCGAAGGCGGCUUUCUGGACCAAUACUGACGCUGAGAUACGAAAGCGUGGGGAGCGAACAGGAUUAGAUACCCGAGUAGUCC
RNAcentral lists this ribosomal RNA (274 nucleotides) under uncultured bacterium. Its description in RNAcentral is "partial 16S ribosomal RNA". It matches the Rfam family "Bacterial small subunit ribosomal RNA", at positions 523 to 796 of the family's 1533-position model. The record is from RNAcentral.